GAAAUGCGAUAAGUAGUGUGAAUUGCAGAAUUCAGUGAAUCAUCGAAUCUUUGAACGCACAUUGCGCCCCUUGGUAUUCCAUGGGGCAUGCCUGUUCGAGCGUCAUUUCAACCCUCAGAACCCCUUGCGGGAUCUGGCGUUGGGGAUUGGCAUCCAGCCAGCCCCGAAAUCUAGUGGCGGUCCCUCCGCGACCUCCCCUGUGCAGUAGCGAUACCUCGCAGCGGGACAGCGGUCUGACCACGCCGUAAAACCCCCAACUUCUCAAGGUUGACCUCGAAUCAGGUAGGAAUACCCGCUGAACUUAAGC
This 307-nucleotide unclassified non-coding RNA is filed under the name plant metagenome. Its description in RNAcentral is "partial contains 5.8S ribosomal RNA, internal transcribed spacer 2, and large subunit ribosomal RNA". The stretch from base 1 to 105 matches the Rfam family "5.8S ribosomal RNA", at positions 50 to 154 of the family's 154-position model. The record is from RNAcentral.